RNAcentral lists this transfer RNA (75 nucleotides) under Candidatus Hakubella thermalkaliphila. RNAcentral describes it as "Candidatus Hakubanella thermoalkaliphilus tRNA-Leu". Lineage: Bacteria; Bacillati; Actinomycetota; Candidatus Hakubellales; Candidatus Hakubellaceae. The record is from RNAcentral.
UGGGCGAGGCGGGAUUUGAACCCGCAAGCCCUUGCGGCCUGAACGCAGCGCGUCUACCAAUUCCGCCACUCGCCC